RNAcentral lists this long non-coding RNA (692 nucleotides) under Phascolarctos cinereus (koala). Its description in RNAcentral is "lncRNA (ENSPCIG00000031214.1)". The record is from RNAcentral. Lineage: Eukaryota; Metazoa; Chordata; Mammalia; Diprotodontia; Phascolarctidae.
GGCAAAUUGGCCAGGUUCUGGGAGCUGUCUCCGCUCUGGGUCCAGGUGUUUGUGAACUAGGGUGGCCUUUUUCCCUGCCAGGCAGGUGGUGGCAGAGCACUCCCUGGAGCAGGGGGUGAGGAUUCUUGCCUCCGACAGUGCCUCGCCUGGAGCCAGCGGCAGCCAGAGGGGGCUGGGGCCCUAGGGUUCCCGAAGCCCGGGAAAGCGAUGGAGAAGAGAAAGAAGCAGUAGCCGUCGUGAUGGUCACGGAGCUGAGCCCGACUAGGGCCGGGCAGGACAAGGGCUCGGCUGGCCCAGGGAGCCCCGGAAAGCAUCAGGAGAAAGCGCUGCGCGCAAGAGAGAAAAGCGCUGCACUUGCUACACUUACAAGGACAAAGAGUGCGUGUACUAUUGUCACCUGGACAUCAUCUGGAUCAAUACGCCAGAACAGACUGUACCAUAUGGGCUCUCCAAUUACAGAGGCAGCUUCCGGGGCAAGAGAUCUGCAGAUCCUAUCUGCAGGACUUUGCCACCAUUUGAAGGGCCACGGAACCGAUGUUCUUGCACGGAACAAGAUGAUGAUGCCUGCAUUCGUUUUUGCACCGGAACUGAGGACAACAGAAGCAAUUCAAGGACAGCAGGAAAACAUCAAGACAUGGACAUGGAACAGCCUCCUGAAAAGUGGCCCUGACAGCACAGAUGCAUGAACAGAG